Ruditapes philippinarum (Manila clam) is the source of this 292-nucleotide long non-coding RNA. RefSeq lists it as uncharacterized. The transcript has 4 exons. NCBI's taxonomy places the organism in Eukaryota, Metazoa, Mollusca, Bivalvia, Venerida, Veneridae. The record is from RefSeq and is a predicted model, not a curated record.
UUAUAGAUAAAACCAUUUAUAGAAAAACAGCCGGUAUCUUCAAGUUUUAAAGGAAGAGCUAUAGAUGGUACUGAUGAGGAAAAGACCAAGAUGAUUAAAAAACUUCAAGAUGAACUGGAGUCUAUGAAGAGACAGCAGUUACAAGAUAAACAACAAAUAUCUGAGUUGAUGAAGGAGAACUCUGGUCUCAAAACCAAGUUUCAACAAAGCACAAAAGCGAAAAAGAAAACAAAAGCAGAGAAAGGAGUUCAAGGAAAGCAAGCGGCACCAAGGCCUUACAGUUGCCAUCAGA